UUGCCCUAGUAACGGCGAGUGAAGCGGCAACAGCUCAAAUUUGAAAUCUGGCUUCGGCCCGAGUUGUAAUUUGCAGAGGAAGCUUUAGGCGCGGCACCUUCUGAGUCCCCUGGAACGGGGCGCCAUAGAGGGUGAGAGCCCCGUAUAGUUGGAUGCCUAGCCUGUGUAAAGCUCCUUCGACGAGUCGAGUAGUUUGGGAAUGCUGCUCAAAAUGGGAGGUAAAUUUCUUCUAAAGCUAAAUACCGGCCAGAGACCGAUAGCGCACAAGUAGAGUGAUCGAAAGAUGAAAAGCACUUUGAAAAGAGGGUUAAAUAGCACGUGAAAUUGUUGAAAGGGAAGCGCUUGUGACCAGACUUGCGCCGGGCGGAUCAUCCGGUGUUCUCACCGGUGCACUCCGCCCGGCUCAGGCCAGCAUCGGUUCUCGCGGGGGGAUAAAGGUCUCGGGAACGUAGCUCCUCCGGGAGUGUUAUAGCCCGGGGCGUAAUGCCCUCGCGGGGACCGAGGUUCGCGCAUCUGCAAGGAUGCUGGCGUAAUGGUCAUCAGCGACCCGUCUUGAAACACGGACCAAGGAGUCAAGGUUUUGCGCGAGUGUUUGGGUGUAAAACCCGCACGCGUAAUGAAAGUGAACGUAGGUGAGAGCUUCGGCGCAUCAUCGACCGAUCCUGAUGUUUUCGGAUGGAUUUGAGUAGGAGCGUUAAGCCUUGGACCCGAAAGAUGGUGAACUAUGCUUGGAUAGGGUGAAGCCAGAGGAAACUCUGGUGGAGGCUCGCAGCGGUUCUGACGUGCAAAUCGAUCGUCAAAUCUGAGCAUGGGGGCGAAAGACUAAUCG
RNAcentral lists this ribosomal RNA (829 nucleotides) under Chaetomium novozelandicum. Its description in RNAcentral is "partial large subunit ribosomal RNA". It matches the Rfam family "Eukaryotic large subunit ribosomal RNA", at positions 75 to 937 of the family's 3401-position model. Lineage: Eukaryota; Fungi; Ascomycota; Sordariomycetes; Sordariales; Chaetomiaceae. RNAcentral also lists the same sequence under 1 other name. The record is from RNAcentral.